UGGCAGUGAUUGCCACGUCAU
This 21-nucleotide microRNA is filed under the name Medicago truncatula (barrel medic). Its description in RNAcentral is "mtr-miR2602a". Lineage: Eukaryota; Viridiplantae; Streptophyta; Magnoliopsida; Fabales; Fabaceae. The record is from miRBase by way of RNAcentral.